RNAcentral lists this ribosomal RNA (497 nucleotides) under uncultured bacterium. Its description in RNAcentral is "partial 16S ribosomal RNA". It matches the Rfam family "Bacterial small subunit ribosomal RNA", at positions 28 to 507 of the family's 1533-position model. The record is from RNAcentral.
GAUGAACGCUGGCGGCGUGCCUAAUACAUGCAAGUCGAGCGAACGGACGAGAAGCUUGCUUCUCUGAUGUUAGCGACGGACGGGUGAGUAACACGUGGAUAACCUACCUAUAAGACUGGGAUAACUUCGGGAAACCGGAGCUAAUACCGGAUAAUAUUUUGAACCGCAUGGUUCAAAAGUGAAAGACGGUCUUGCUGUCACUUAUAGAUGGAUCCGCGCUGCAUUAGCUAGUUGGUAAGGUAAAGGCUUACCAAGGCAACGAGGCAUAGCCGACCUGAGAGGGUGAUCGGCCACAUGGGAGCGUAAACACGGUCCUGACUCCUACGGGAGGCAGCAGUAGGGAAUCUUCCGCAAUGGUCGAAAGCCUUACGGAGCAACGCCGCGUGAGUGAUGAAGGUCUUCGGAGCGUAAAACUCUGUUAUUAGGGAAGAACAUAUAUGGAAGGAACUGUGCACAUCUUGACGGUACCUAAUCAGAAAGCCACGGCUAACUACGUG